This 27802-nucleotide long non-coding RNA is filed under the name Setaria italica (foxtail millet). Its description in RNAcentral is "long non-coding RNA (SITA_LNC001462)". The record is from RNAcentral. Lineage: Eukaryota; Viridiplantae; Streptophyta; Magnoliopsida; Poales; Poaceae.
AUACUAUUUGGUUCAACUUACCUCAUAAUGCAAUUUAUCUUUUUUCUCUCCAUACACAAGUUGAAUUUUAAUUUGAGACUUUGCACGGGGUAGUGGACAUCAUUAUCUAUAUUAAAAACUACUUUAUGGAUUUUUCAUCAUUAUUUUUUAUAUAAUUUUGUAUCUCAAGAAUAAUUUUAUUAUAUCCUACCCUAUAAAAAUAAUGAUAAAAAUUCAUGAUAUAUUUUUGUGACAUAUCUUAUGAUGUCUGCUAUCAUCAUGCACAAAUUGAACUUAAAACUCCACUUGUGCAUGAAAAAAAAAUUAUGUUAAAGAGUAAAUUGAACCAAAUGGUAUACUUUAAGAGUAAACUGAACCGACUUUCAGAGAGUUAUUGAGACUUUGGUUACAGGAGUAAUUCGGAUUUUUUUUAAAAAAAAUAUGCUGGCUAUCUCGUCUUCCUCCGUCGCUAGAGCGGAGGAGGUUUUUUCUUCUCUCCCUUCCACAUGAUCAGAAAUCCAACGAGCGAACCUGACGUGAGAAGGCCUACACGGGCCACAAGAAAUCCGGCCCACAUUAGACUUGGGAGGCCACCCCACCCCACCCCACCCCACUCCCCCUCCUCUUGAAGCCGUCGACGCCGCCGCCGCCGCCAUCGCCGCAGCCCUAGCGAUUUGGUAAAAAAAGGAGAAGAGACAUGGCGACCGCCGCUGAUCUAAGGCGUGUGUCGGAGGACGAGCUGCGGAAGUGCGAUUUGUUCCGGUGCUUUUGCUGUUGGCGCAGACGCUGCUCGCUCGGGAUCCCGCGCAUUGGCCCCCGUAGCGAGUAUUUGCCGGCCAACGCCGACAAGGGGCGGAUGUUAAGGCGGGGCUUGGAGGGCUCCGGCGCCCCCUACCAGCUGUAUCUCCCUUGGGGAGAAGAGGUGAAGGAGAAGGAGGAUGAAGGAAGACGAAGGGGGAGGACGGGAAGAAGAAGGACAGCUUUGGGGGGUGGUGGACAAGGAAGAAGAAGAGAGCGUCCCCUACCCACCGGCCUUGCGUCUGCCACUGCUGAGGGCAGCCCGCUUUGGUCGGUCCUCGUUGGCUGCUCCUCCUCCGACCAUCCGUCGCACGGUCUACGCAUACACUACUUCCGGGUCACCGGCUCCGGCCGCGUCAUCGGCCACAACAACGACCUGCUCGAGCUCUUCUGCGGUGUGUCCCCGAUCGAUGACAGGCACACGAUGUUCCCCGUCGCCAGGGCCGCGAUAGCGCCGGCCGACCGCCAUCUUUACAUCAUCUGCAAACAUCGCCCGGCAGCCGGAUCGAGCAGCACCAGCGGCCAACAAGCCCACGAGAAGGUCUUUCCUCCCAAAGCCUUCUCUUUGAACACCGCAGACAAGAGCCUGUCUACUCUGCCGCCGCUCCCGUUCACUCGUGGAUCAUGGGAAGCUAUCUCAGCGUGUGGCAAGCUCUGGGUGCCGGUCGUAUUGGUAAAGAGAGGCUCCUAUGGAGAGGCAUGGAGCCUCAUCGUUUACAAGCUGAUUGGGGACUGUUGGUCUGAAGUCAACAGUGUCGAGUUCCCUUACAAGCAUUCGUUGGAACGUGGGUACAGUGGCACCUUACUCCAGGGCUAUGUGGUUCUCCAUACAAACAUUCUAUUAUCAUUCAGUAACUCCAGCUUCUUCUUAUUCAAGUGCACCAGCGGCGACUUGUCCCGUGUUGACACUAAUGGCACAAGUCAAUAUAUUCCUAUCACUGGCAAAGCAGUAUAUGUCAAGCUCCAUGACAUGAUCUACUUCAUACGGGGAACCAAACUCUUUGCAUACAAGUACACUCCAAAGUGGGACAAGCUGCUUGCGGCUCCCAUAGAGAUCGGAAAUAUUUGGCCCUAUGACAAGGAAGGGUAUGGCUUCGUGGAGCACGUAGGCGGCCGUAUGUUGUGUGCUGUUUGGAUCAAUAUGCACCAGCUGUGUGGGUGUGCCACACGGCAUGCCCUGAUCACAACAUUCCGCGUCACAGGCGUCACUGAUGAAUUUGGCUGCUUCGUUCCCAAUGGUGUUGACAUCCUGCACUCCACCUGCCGCCAGAUAGACAUGCUCAAGAGCAAUGCAUCUGGAGACACAUGCUAUGACACCUUCUGUUUCUUGCAGUAAGCAAUCUCGAUUUGCUUUGCUCAAAUCAAUUCCUUGAUACUUAAUUCAUUGUUUUGUCAGUUUGUACAUCCAUCUGUUUUAGCACGUUAGCUAACCUUAGUUGCAUUACUACUUCAGUGGACACUACUGCAUUUCAGCAUUGCAACAAUUUCAAGGUUUUCUCUUAUGUUGCGUCUUAAGUUCGUUGGAGAUCACUCUACUGUUGGUUAACUAAAAAUAUCCUACUGGUGUGACAGGAAGUGUCAGGAUCGUGGAGCCAAGUUUCAUCCCUCGGAUCUUUCAGAGACAAGACAGUUCUACUGCCCCCAAGUUGAAAAAUUCUCAGAAAUGCUUACUUGCUGCAGGUUUGAUUUCGUUUUAGUAACCAAAUUUCUCUUUAUUUGUUAUUUUAAAUUUCACUAAUUGGUUCUUAUCAAGCAGUUCGAUUAUAGGUUAUUGUUUAGUCAUUUGAUAGUGCUCCAAGUUCAUUUUGUUGAUUUCAGCCCUCUACUUGACUUGUGUAGCUAAUCCUGCUCAUUAAUAAUUUAGGUACAUUUACAUUUCACUAUAAAAUACAAAAAACUGCUUUAGAAAAAUGUGGAUUGGACCUGGCACCACAACUAUGAUUGAUAUUGGGGGCACUUGUGAUAGAAAAAUUUGAUAUAUGUAUGUAGGGAAAAUUACUUCAGACUCAAAGUGGAUAAAUGAGUAGCAGACAUACUAAAGGUGGGAGCAGCUACACAUGGUAGUGGAAUGUAUUGUGUUUGUUUCUUAUCACUAAAAUGCCUCAGAGCUUUUGCGAUUAAGUUCGCCGUUGUCAUCUCGGAAAAGUUUGUAGUCUGCUGUUCCGGUAGCCUUUCUCACUUAACCAUCCAUAAAUGAGUAACAUAAAUCAGGAAUUGUCUAGUACAUGUUUAUGGUUGACAUGAAGUUCUGGUCUGGAAUAUGCAUACAUGAUAUUAUCUGAGGCUUGGGAACUAAAUUUGGCAAUCAGGUAUGAGAUGGGCUGAAGUCAACAAAAGCAAACUUGAGGUUUUGAUUGUGUAAGGUUGAACAAUAAAACUGAUCAACUGAGAUCAACAAAGUUAUAGUGGUUUGCUUCAUAAAACAUAGUUGUGCAAGGGUCUUAUUGUAACUUUCCCUUUGAAUAAAUUAGUUACUGAACUGCAACUGAGAGUCAUUUUUUAUGCUGAACAGUUACAACUUUUAACUGCAGGGAGUUUCUAAAUGGAAAGCCUGAGCCUGCUCCAGGUGUAGUAGCCCUUGACUUCUGCAAAAUGGCCACCAGAUCAGAUUUCUAUUUUAUCUGUCAGGCGGAUCAGUGCUCCCUUUUGUAUCAAAUAUCUACUUCAGGAGGAAAGUUGACAUGUGGUGAUGAGGCCCUGGAGGCAGUACUGCGUCUAGACACAGUUAGAUUUGGAGAUAUUGAAAUAGAUGACCUUUCAGCAUGGUAUUUUGUGCAUCGCGGAUCGACGCUUUAUGUUAUCCCAUCGAGUCCAGAGUGCAAUCACUAUGUUGUCGACGUCGAAAGGAAGUCCUACAGGCUCUGUAAGAGCAAACGAUCCAAGCUCUUUUUUUCAGCAGUUUUCCGAGCUGGUCAGUAUGUCGUGGCUCUAUGUGAUACUUUGCAGUAUGUCUAUAUCCUUCGGGACAAUCUCCAAUGGAGGCGCCAGAAGACAGCAUCAAGGUCUGUUGAUGUGUCACAAAAGGUCAAGAUUUCUGGAUUUGUAGACCUCAUCAACGAUGCGUUUAUGAUAUCGGAUUUUGACACAGAUGAGUUCUUCUUGUUUGAUUUGAAGAGAUGGGAAUGGUUUUCUGUCAGGUCAUGGUUUUGUUUUCUGAGUGGAAGAUGCAUAUUCGCAGAGGGUUUCAUAUACACCUGCUCAGAUGAAGGUCUUGCUGCUUUUGAGCUGUUUUACGAUGAUACUUCAUAUUGGCUGGGUCUGCCUAUCAUGUUAGAUUUUUCUUGGAAGUACAUUUGCGGCAACCGAAGGUUCCUAUGCUUUGAUUCAAUUUGCAAGUGCGAAAUUGGUGAUACCAUUGUGUUCUGCGUGGUCCAGGGAUAUGAGGAAGCACCUCCUAGCACUUCAAGUCACACCUUGGCUGCAACCACAGUACAAGUGAAGCUUGUGGAAACAGCACGAGGGACAAAAGUGCCUGUCAGAGUUGAUCAUGUUGAUAUCUUUCUUUCAUCGAUUGUAGAGGAAGGGUGGAUCUUGACCAACUAUGCGUUUGCUUUGUAAGCAGUUGCAAGCUUAGGGUACUGAGCUCCGUGAGGUUCUAUGAGGCUGAACACCUGUAUCAUUGACAUUGGGCUAAUAUUUUGUACCUUUGGAAGACGAUGUAGGUAACUGCUAGACACUAGUUUCCGAUACCAAGGCCGCGGUUUCGCUGCUGUUUUGCCCGUAGCUAGACAUUGCCAUCUUUUUGUUCCAUUCUUGGCACUUGAACACAUUGCUAAGAUAUGAGUCAGGUCUGGUUUGGUUGGUUUGCUUAUUUUUAAGCACCCGUCACAUCGAAUGUUUAGAUACUAAUUAGGAGUAUUAAACGUAGACUAUUUACAAAAUCCAUUACAUAAGUGGAGGCUAAACGGCGAGACGAAUCUAUUUUUUUUCUUUUGCUUUUNNNNNNNNNNNNNNNNNNNNNNNNNNNNNNNNNNNNNNNNNNNNNNNNNNNNNNNNNNNNNNNNNNNNNNNNNNNNNNNNNNNNNNNNNNNNNNNNNNNNACGUGAAUGCAUACUGAACCAUUGACUGGAAAAAACCAGAAGCGUUACACAUACUUUAUAUAGCAUAGCCAGCACGUGAUCCAUGGAACGACAGACGCAUGGUACGUACGCGAUUCAACUAACAGCCCAAGUGUACGUACACAAGGAACAACAAUCAGGAGAUUAGGAGUUCUGAAUUACUCCAGUGUAAGAAUAAUAAUUAAAACCCAGUGGAAGAAGAAUAAUUUAUGGCGGAACGACCACUCCAAGCGAAGCGCAUCAGCUUCCCAAGUUGACGCCCAGAAAAACCUGACAACUCUGACAGUGCAUUUGAAAUACGGUUGAAGGGACGUUAGCCUCCACUUAUAUAAUGGGUUCUGUAAAUAGCGUACGUUUAAUACUCCUAAUUAGUAUUAGAAAAACAUCAAUACUUGCUUAAAAAUAAGCAAAGGGAAUAAACGUCCCUUCAACCGUAUUUCAAAUGCACUGUCAGAGUUGUCAGGUUUUUCUGGGCGUCAACUUGGGAAGCUGAUGCGCUUCGCUUGGAGUGGUCGUUCCGCCAUAAAUUAUUCUUCUUCCACUGGGUUUUAAUUAUUAUUCUUACACUGGAGUAAUUCAGAACUCCUAAUCUCCUGAUUGUUGUUCCUUGUGUACGUACACUUGGGCUGUUAGUUGAAUCGCGUACGUACCAUGCGUCUGUCGUUCCAUGGAUCACGUGCUGGCUAUGCUAUAUAAAGUAUGUGUAACGCUUCUGGUUUUGGUUUUACAUUAGGUUAUCGGGGUUGCCAGCACAGACCAGGAGAUUUGCUCAUUUUGUAGUACAAAUGUUGUGCAGCUGGAUAUACUCUGUUUGGCGCUUCAUUCGCCAGGAGCUCAAGAAAUUUCGACGAGGACCCCGACCGUGAGGGCCUCUGCCACGGCCGCCUCCGCUCCCCGCCGUCGCACACCACCGUACCGUCGACAUCACCGAUUCACCGUGCUGCAGCCAGCGAUGGGAGCCCACCACCACCCGCUUACUCUACCGGCGUUGCGUUGCCAUGGCCUCCGCAGCCUCGCCUUCACUGAGGUCACCGACGUCAUCCUCACCACGCGCUCAGGGCCAGCGUCGGAUCUUGUCACGACCCAGCGAGCGGUACUGUGCUCAGGUCAGGUGAGCAUCAGAGCAUGACACCGGAUCAUGUUUCAUGUCACGACGGAGCCGGUUACCAAGUGUAACCAAGAAGGGACCGCCACGCCGGUUAAUUGCUGGUCUCGCGAUUAGGACGCGUGCUGUGCCACAGAUCAGUCAAGCCUAACGCUGCCAGGGACUCCAUCAGCAGGCGCCCGGGGCUCUGAGGCGUCUGGAGGCUGGACGUGGUGCGUGUCUUCGCCAAAAGCCACAACUGAUCUUCUCGAUGAGCACGACCCAUGAAUUAAUUUACCCCGUACUGCCUGUGACUAAAUCCUUUCAAAAUGAGCUUCUAGGCUCACGCUACUGCUUCAAAUUGGGAACAAGUUAGGUUCCCCUGAUCGAGUAGUAUAGGCUGGACCUGGAUCAUAGGUUUUCCGGUAAACUACAUACUGUCAAUUCAACGAACUAACAAUGUGAUCAAUACCCUUAAUUACAUCGUUCAUUCCUUUAAUCAGCAACAUGGAAGUUGUUUUUUUCUCUCUAUUGGAGUAAGCUAGUCGGUCCCUAUAGCGAUGGUGGCCUGGACACGCGAAAAUGGGAAAAUGCGAGACACGGACGUCUCACCCCACGUGGCCUAUUUGGCAACACCCAUCACAUCGGAUGUUUGGAUGCUAAUUAGGAGUAUUAAACAUAAGCUAAUUACAAAACUAAUUGCACAGAUGGAGUGUAAUUCGCGAGACGAAUCUAUUAUGCCCAAUUAGUCCAUGAUUUGACAAUGUGGUGCUACAGUAACCAUUUGCUAACGAUGGAUUAAUUAGAUUUAAUAGAUUUGUCUCGCGAAUUAGCAUAGGGUUCUGCAAUUAGUUUUAUAAUUAGCUCAUAUUUAGUUCUCGUAAUUAGCAUCCGAAUAUCCGAUGUGACACUAUUAAAGUUUAACACCUCGUGUCAAAUACCUUUUAGAACUUGUGUCUCUAGCCCGUCUCCAGCAGCAUGGCAACGUCGGCAUGACUCACACGGACGUCAGGCUGAUGGUAGUAGACGUGAUGGCAGCAUCACUUUCAGCUCCAGGCAUGUCUGUCAUCCAUCCUCUACAAUUCUUCUCGGCUAAAUCUGAAACUCCGGAUCAACGAAGGAAAAAUAGAAAAGGCAGUCAGUCAAAACGACUUGCAACGUAAAGAGACUGUGUGCAAUGACCAUGUGGUGAUAUUCUACGAAUUUCGGGCACCAAAAUCCACCAGAAUAUCUUAUUUUCGGUGCCUUUUGUAGAGUAGCUUUCUUUUGUGCCCAUAGAAUAAGUUCAUCAGAAGUUUUCGAAACGGCCCAGACAAGAGACUAAUCAAUCUAUGGGCGGGGCCGUCGUCGGGUGGCCAGAAAAGCGGGGGAUCCAAUCCAAGCGGCCUAUUCCAUUUCUGCUCCCCACUUUAACAUCACGCGCUUUUAUCAAAAGAAAGAAACUGACCACGAAAUCAAGGGGGGAGGAAAAGGGAAACGGGCCAUAGAAAAUCCCAGUGAGAUACUUCAGCUGCAGCUAACCUGCAGAUUAUUCUAACACCACCUUGAGAUACUUUCACCGGCGAUUAAUUAGCAGCUGUUCCAUGUGAUGCGGACGGCACCUGCCGGCGCCAUUGGGCACAUGGCAGUUGCCGAAUCCACCCAGGAAAGCUCCACGAAGAUGAGAGAUGGAUUGUUUGGGGGCUUUGGCUGGCUGAAUAGGUCGCAGCAAGUGCCGGCGAGUGAGCUCACUUGUACGUCAUGGUAGUAUCACCAGCCGGACUGCCGGGGCCGGCUGUUCCUGUCAAGCCGUGUGAAAACUGAAAAUUCUCUCCGUCAGUCAGAGUUGGAGCCAUGAGCCAGCCGCUCGCUCAUGGAAGGAACCGUUUGCUUGCAAGAACAAAAUGCCCGGGCAGGGUAAUGAUCACCCUCCCUGCCCUGGUGCCCAAGUUACGGUUGCCCCCUUUCCAUUACACGAAGAGUCUGGACCAGAAUUCGCAGUAAAAAAAUAUCCUUUUUACCUUCCAGUAAUUCUGCAUAGCCCACAGCAGCAGAAUUCAUCCGUGAUCUUGACCUGUAAGAACAAGUAUAUUACUAUAUGAGAGAGUAUGAGACCAUCGACGUGGCGCUUUAACAGCGAGGGGAAUUAACCCUGACCGGUCGCCACCGCAUGCUGAUGCGACGCUGCCACAAGGCGCACGUAUGCAAACCGCAGCGCCGCGAACGGGGAGGCAGGUGAAACGAAACGGGGCUUGGCUUGCGUGCGCGUGGCGUCAGCGUGACCAGCUGCAGCGAAGCCGCCCAAAGCAAAGCAAGGACUUUGGGAGAUGCGACGCGCCCACGGCGUUUUGUUGUUUAUAUUCUCGCGCACAGCCGCACAGGAGGAGAGGAGAGAGCGCGGCCGAGGAAACGAGCGAGCGAGCAGGGCGAGGGGAGCUGUCGCUUUUGACCUCGCGGCGUAACGGAAUCAGGGCGGAUUCGCGCGCGCCGCCGCUGCUGCUGCUGCUAUAUAAGAGGCCGCAAAGGCAACGGGCAAAGCCAUCGUCGUCGUCGUACUCGCCCGCAAGAAACACGGGUCCGGCAGCCGGCGGUCGGAGAAGCCGAUCGAGGAGGUUGGAGGCUUGGCGGAGCAGCAGCCGCGAGGAGGUUGGGGACUUGAGUCAGCAACCGGCGGCAAUGGAGAAGCCCCGGCAGGUGGUGCGGAAGUUCCUGGCCCGGCCGCAGCACGAGGGCGUCGGCGCCGUCGUCCGCCGCAGCAUCGGCAGGUGAGCGAUCAGAUGAAUUCCGUUCUUGGCUGCCAUGUUCCGUGGUUAUGGAGAGCCGGGCGGUGAGAGAUGCUUGUGUGUUUCCUGGCUUCGCUUUGCUGAUUUGGGAUGGGACUCGCUGCUGGUGCGUGCAGGUUUGAGCUGAGGUACUUCGAUCCGUUCCUAGUCCUCGACGAGUUCUCCGGUGAGCUUCGAUUCCGUCCUUUCCUGAAUGGGCUUCGCUUGUCCCAUCUCGGCUCAACUAAUCGAUUGCCUGUCCGAAUUCCGCGCAGUUUCUGCUCCGGCCGGGUUCCCCGACCACCCGCACAGAGGAUUCGAGACCGUCACCUACAUGCUCGAGGUACGCACACAAUUCCCUAUUUCCCACUCGUUUUUGUUCUUCUGUUUCCGUCAGAGCAAACCUGAUGAGCCGCCAUGAGAAUUCCUGGCAUCCUCCGCAGCUACCAUUCCUUUCUCAAUUCCCAUUGCGCUGUAGCUUUACUGCUCUACUAGGCGAGCGAGAAAGGUAGGGAGCGGAGUCUAGCUUGACGACUAAACAGGGCUGCUUCAGGCAACGAACCGCGUGGCGCCAAUUGUCAACGACGCCAGCUGAUAUAAGGCCCUGUUUGGCUCUGAAAGUUUCUUCCCCUGCACUUGAAGAAUCCGUCCCGACGGGCCCCGGUUUCGGUAGCGCCCCCGCGUCCGUCAACCACCACCCGCGUUGCUCUACUUUUGCGCGCUCAAGGGAUCGACACCACACCAGAAAAUCAUCAUGAAAACGUUAUGAUACUAUGGCCCUGCUAAACAAUUAGUGUAAAAAGAAUCACAGAUCAGUUGGUAGCGGUAGUUCUGACCAGAAACUGAUGAAGAUGAACUCGUGUAAUAAAAAGGAUCAGGGUCAGAGUUUUCCGAGUUCUGGCUUUCUCAUUGCUUUGGGCGUGGAACGCUGUUUCAGGGCGCUGUGACGCACGAGGACUUCGAGGGCCACCGUGGCACCAUCAAGGCCGGCGACGUGCAGUGGAUGACGGCCGGGCGCGGCAUCGUGCACUCGGAGAUGCCCGCCGGCCCCGGCACGUCCAAGGGUCUGCAGCUCUGGGUCAACCUCUCCUCCGGCAACAAAAUGUGAGACUCAUCUUUCUCCCCUUUCUAUCAUUCCGGCUUCUCCACCACGACGUGGCAACUAGUCUUGUGUCAAUUCCGUCGUGCUCGUGUCAACUCAAUGCAAGUUGCCACAGUUGGGGACGAGCUUAAUUAACACGUGGUCAUCACUGACUAACAACACUCGAAAAACGACGUGCGCGCGUGCGUUCGUGCAGGGUCGAGCCCGGGUACCAGGAGAUCCAGAGCAAGGACAUCGCGUGCACGUCCGCGGACGGCGUCACGGUGCGCGUGAUCGCCGGGCACGCCAUGGGGGUGCGGUCGCCGGUGUGCACGCGGACGCCGACCAUGUACCUCGACUUCACGGUGCGCCCGCGCGCCGCCGUGCGGCAGCCCGUGCUCCCGUCGUGGAACGCCUUCGCGUACGUGCUGGAGGGCGAGGGCGUGUUCGGGACCGAGCGGUGCGCGCCCGUCGGCGCCCACCACCUGCUCCUCCUUGGCCAGGGCGACGGCCUCGAGGUGUGGAACAAGUCGGACAGGCCGCUUCGGUUCCUGCUCAUCGGCGGCGAGCCCAUCGGGGAGCCCGUGGCGCAGCUGGGGCCCUUCGUCAUGAACACCGAGGAGGAGAUCGACAUGACCGUCGACGACUUCGAGCGCUACGCCAACGGGUUCGAGAAGGCCAGGCACUGGAAAUCGCAGGCGAUGGUAGCGCUUGGCGUAGAGUAGGGACAAACACGAGCAGAGUACACAGCGAAGGGGAAAAAAAUCAACAGAUUAUUUUCGUUUUUUUCCUAUUAUCAUCGUAAUAUACGGUACUACUAGUAGGUAUCAUUGCUUUUCUUUCUUUCCCCCAAGAUCGGGGUUGUGUACAUAUAUCUGGUAUAAAUUAAUUUUAACAAUAACCAGGAACAGAGUUUUAUAGUUCAUCAUCAUCAACAACAAAAUAAAAGUACUAUUUAUUCCCUUCUGAAAUCUGACCCAUGGAGCCAAAACUCCCGACCAAUCGCAGCACGUCGCGGCAACAUCGAGGUGAGGGUGAGCUCGCCCGAGCCGAUUUCUAUUGGCUCCCACUGACGACCAGAUGGAGCGCCAUCCACCUCCCCUCCCCUCCAGCGUCCCUCCUACCGCCGCCGCCGCCAUCACCUCCAGCUCCCUACCGUCGAUGGAUCCCCCUAGCCCAGCAAGCCCACUAGCCCAACCUCCUCUGGCGCUCCAUCUCGCAGCCCCACCCCAAGCCCCCAUCGCUCCCCCCUUCCCCGUGACCCCGAAGUUGUACAUCUAUCCUUCUCCCCUACCUCUGAAACAUCUGACACCUCCUCUCAUGAUAAGCAUGCUUCUCGUCGUGUCCAUUCGGUCAUGGCACAUACGACGGAUUCCUCUAGUUCUGUUGAGGAGACCCGUCACCUACACAAAGGUAAAGAUUUGGCGCAAGAUUCGUCCGGCUCGCCUGUUCGGCACCAUGCUUCCUGUAGAGAUGUUGUCCCCUCUCAGCCAAGCUUGACCUAAAAAACAUGCAUACAUUAUGUAGCAUAUUGUGGAAUAUUAAAACUACCAAAAUCUAUUCAGUGAUGAAUGUAAAUGUUGUGUGUCAUGCUCUUGUUUCGGCCAUAUUUCUCCCGAGUAGUUAAUUAGCCUGUUAUGUUUAGUAUCUCAGUUCUUGUUUAGCUAUUGCCAUUGUAUGUGAGAUUUUUGUCUCGUGUACGCGUACUGGCACUACUGCUACGGAGAUCUUUGUCUCGCGUCUUAGUGUUUAGGCAUGUUAGAAGAUCCGAGGCUUUCACGAAUUGAGGUGUGUUCUGCUUGAGGAGAUUAGUGACCGCUAAGAGAAGCCAUUUAAAAUAAGUAGUCGACAUUGCGAUAAAAAACUGCGCGAUUGCGCGUAAAGUAGUCUUUGAGAUUUUUUUGCCUUUUGGCAAGGAGAGCGUGUGUUGCCGCGUAUAAGAUCUGUGCCUCACUAGGGUGUAGCCGCUAUGAGCCUCCAGCACUCAGUGCACCAAACUUCGUGGCAGAGCCUCCUAAUUCAGUGUACCAAGCUUGUGGCGGAGCUUCCGGAACUCAGUACACAAAACCCGUGGCUAUAGCCUCUGUAAUUCGGUGUACCAAGCCCAUGGCUGUCAGUCAACAUGCCCCAAGAGUUGUCAGCGAAGUGUAGCUCUGAAUGGUAAUUCCCAUUGAGAGCCGUACACAAAUAAGUAGUUGGCGCAUUCACCAACCAUGCUGAAAACAAUCUAGAAAAAUUAUAUAAAAUAAUUAAAAAAGUGACUUAACUUGAUUCAUGGAUGAUUGUCUACGAAGCCGCGUCGAUUGUCGAUGAAGCCAACUAGUCGGUGUUGAUUUUGACUAGUUGUCAACGGUGUGAGGCUCGCCCUUGACUAGUUUUCUAGUCAAGACGAGUAGUCAAAGUAGAUCGUCCUCAACUAGUUUUCUAGUCGAGACGAGUAGUCGAAAUAGUCAUCGGCGACUUGAUGCGGUCGGACGUCGGGGCAGCAGUGCUCGCGUACAUCUUCUAUGUACGUUAUGCUAUGAUUUUAAGGUCUUGUGGUAGCCUUCCAUGUGCGUGUAGCACAAAUCCCUCAAAAUUGCUUUUUACAGAGAGUAGUCGAAGUUGAUUAUUUGCCUCAAGCUGCACGUAACUGUAACAUAUCUUUGUCAUUUUGGGAAUUAUGGCGUGGAUCCCUCAGUCUGCCUGAUCUCCCAACUCGAGUCAAAUUUGCCUCUGCCUUGAUCGACGAGCUGCAUGCAGCAGCCUGCAGCGAAAACCGACUCGGUCUUCAACUGGAACGCGAAACGCAUCGAUUCUGUCUUAGCAUAGAUUUAUCUGCUCGAAACUCUGACUCGACGACUUGCUUCUUAUCGAGUAGAUUGAUCUUGAUGAUGAGGUCCUUCAACCUCGCUCGAUGAUCUCAACGAUCACCCCUACCUAGCGCGCCAGAUGUCGGUGUUUUAUACCCUACAACGUACCGAGGGGUAUCCCGAGGUAGUAGAUUGGUCGAUGGGGGAUCGUCGGACCUGAAACUCGAAGGUAAAAGUGAGGACACAAGACACAGAUUUAUACAGGUUCGGGCUGUCAGAGUAGCGUAAUACCCUACAUCCUAUUUGGGGUGUUGUAUAUUGCGCCCUGCGCUUGGAUGUUGUUUGGUGUUAAGGAUUUGGUUUUCUGUUGUGGUUCUAUGAGGUCUUUGCCUACCGAUAUAGGGACCCCUGCCCUCCUUUAUAUACUCCAGGAGGCGGGAUUACUAGUCAAUUACAAGGUAGGAGUCCUAGUAGGAUUACAUGGUAUGAGUCCUAGUAGGAUUACAGGAAAAUCCUAGUAGAAGUCCGUCUUCUUCCUUCCUUGCGGGUACUGUGAAUCUAUCCCCGAUAGCAGCCACGGCUGCUCUGCUGGUGCUAGCCCGUGGCAGGAGGCGAGGAGGCUGCACUGGUGGAAGAGGCAUGAUGCUGGACCCAACAUGUCACAGUCCGAGCAUGAUGUUAAUAAUUCCACAUAACAUUGUCAAUCACUCAUCACAAGCUAAAAGCAACAUCAUUCCACACAAUAUUGUCAAUCACUCAUCAUCCAAGGGUGACCACCAUUGGUCCUCAAUUCUAUUGAGCACAACCUCUUCUUCUGCUCUGGUAAAUGGUACUACAUGCCGCAGUUUCCAUCAUCUCAAGGGCCUUCACCAAGGGGAUCCUUUGUCCCCCAUGCUGUUCAUAUUGGCAUUGGAACCCCUUCAUUAGUUAAUGCACUUAGCUGAACAAGAAUCCAGAUUGAAUCCCUUACACAACCGCGCGGCCAGCAUCUGGUUGAGCCUAUAUGCGGUUGACGCCAAGGUCUUCACCAAUCCGGACAAAAAUGAGGUGGACACUCUGAAAGAGCUAUUUGAUGUGUUUGGCUUGGCCUCGGGGUUACAGAUAAAUCUUAGAGUUCUGUGUUCCCGAUCCACUAUGAUGAAAUCAACUUGUAAGAAGUUCUAUCCAGUAUGCAAUGUGAUAUCAAGACUGUUUCUAGAAAAUACUUGGGCCUCCCUCUUAGUUUGAGAUAGCUUAAGCGAGUUGAGGUGCAACCGCUUAUCGACAAGGUGGCAGCUAGGUUACCAUGAUGGAAAGGCAAGCUGAUAAACAAGGUUGGAUGCUUAUCUCUGGUUAAUUUAGUCCUAUCCUCCAUUCCCAUGUACCAUUUGACAGUCUAGAAAUGGGCCUUUAAGAAGACUGACAAGAUGGUUUUCUAUGGAAAGGGGAUGAACAGGUGAACGGCGGGCAUUGUCUGGUGAAGUGGACCAAAGCUUGUCUGCCUAAGGAUCUUGGCGGCCUGGGAAUCUUGAAUUUCGAGCUGUUCGGUCGUGCACUGCGGCUGCGAUGGCUGUGGUUUGCCUGGACUGAACCUAACCGGCCAUUGGUAGGAUCUUCUCCUCCUUGUGAUGAAGUGGACAAGCAGCUCUUCAGGAACAGCGCCAUGGUACACAUUGGCGACGGCCAGAGGACUUCUUUCUGGCACUGCAGCUAGGUGAAUGGUAGGGCACCAAGGGAUAUUGCUCCAAAUUUAUUCAAGUUGUCAUGGAGAAAACACAAUUUGGUCUGGGAGGUUGUCGUGGAUCACAAAUGGACGAGGGGGUUGUGGAAGAUGUCUACUGCUAUUGAGAUGGCUGAAUUUCUGCUCCUUUGGGAUGAGGUGUAGCAACUACAAUUCAAUGAUCAACCUUAUAGGAUUUCAUGGCGCUGGACAGACAAUGAGCAAUACACAGCUAAAUCAGCAUACAGGGUUCAACUUAGAGGGACGUUCUGCACUUUCAGAGGAGAUUGGAUUUGGAAGGCUUUCGCGGAGGGCAAACACAAAGUUUUCACCUAGCUGCUGGUACAACACAAGGUUUUAUCAGCGGACAAGCUUCGUAUUCACAAUUGGCCCUGUGAUCAUGUCUGUUCGCUUUGCGACCAGGUGGAUGAGAUGACACCGCAUCUUGUUCUCAACUGUUAUUUCGCUAAAGAAAUCCGAGUGAAGGUAAAGCAAUGGACUGGGCUAUACUGGUGCCAGUCAGGGAGGAGGUUUCAUUGGAGCAAUGGUGGGCAAAGAACCUGGAACACGUGAUGGGAAGAUCAAGGAGGUCAUUAGCUGCGGUAAUCAUGUAGACGGUUUAGAACAUUUGGAAAGAGCGCAAUCGACGGAGUUUCGAGCACAGAGCGCUGCUCUAUGGGCAGGUUCUGGGCAUGAUCAAGGAAGAAGUGGGAUUACAACGAGCUGCUUGUGGCACCCUGGAGUUUGAGUGUUCUUAGUGUUUUAUGUGUGUGUCAUUGGUCUUUAUGUAAUACGUAAGACUCGCAUUCUCCUUCUUCAUUAAAUGACUCUUGCUCCAUUUCAAAAAAGAAAAUCUAACCCUUGCUAAUUUGGGCCGAAACUAUUGCUAUUGGGCUCAAGGAAAGGAAACUAAGCCGACCUAGUAAAGAGACGGGUUCAGGUAGCCUUCAAUAUUGGGCGGAAACUUUUCGCUAUUUUAGACUCAAAGAAAUGGAGGAAACGAGGAAACUUUUCGUUUGGUGGUCCAACAAGGACCGGACGAAUUUUGUUAUGGGCCAACCAAAGUGCUCAAUUUUUAAAGCCCACGGUAUCAUCAGAACUUGCAACGCCAAAUUAGGCCCAUAGAUAUUCGGCCUAAUUGAGACCAAAUGAAUAUGCUGUCAUUGUACAGGAAAUUUCCUCUCAAAAAAAGGGAAAACUUAAGCAUUGACUGAUGAAUAUGGUGUCGCUGAAAACUUAAGAUUUAUAGUUUUUUAAAGUUCCAAAUGAUUUGUAUUCUGACCCAGGGCAGCAGGGGCAACGGCCAAGGCCCAUGACACAAGGGGCCCAUAGUUCAAUACGUAAAUGUACCUGCAUUUGAGGCCUAGCAGGCCUGGUACUUGCUAGACAGACGCAGCUGCAAUGCCCACGCGCUGGAAACAAAUCCACGUUCUGCCCAUUGGUGGCCUAUGCAGUCUCACCUCUCUCUUCUCUCUCCUUCCUUGUUUUUUUCCUUCUCACCGCCCGCCGCCUCACCUCACGUCGUUGAUGCUGCCACUCCCAGCCUCUGGUGGUGAUUGUGGCGCUGCAGACCAGUGACAGAAGCAACGAAAGAAGAAGCCAAUCCCCUCGAUUGGGUCGUGCUUCGAGCUCAAUGUGGCCGGCGGGCCUCUAUGCAUGAGAGGUGAUGCCAAUGCAGCAAGAUUCCAUCGAAGGUAUAGCGGGCGACAUGGAGCCUGUAGUGCCGAGUGCGCCUUGCAUGGUCUUGAUUGCAGCCCCAGCAAGGCCUCCUCAGCGAACGGAGGGCCUCCUCAGUUCUCAUUUCGCUCAAGGGCCCUCCAAAUUAGGUAUGAAAGCGGAUAAAAUCUUGUUUCCAUCCGCUUAUUUUUCUAUAUUUAUCCCGUAUUUUGAGUUAUGUAAAAACGGGAUAGUAAGGUCCGGUAAUGAGACGGAAAACGGAUGGAAGUAUCCAGGAACAAGACGGGAUGCAGUUGAGGGUGUAUCUCCCGUAUUUGUGGGAUCCUGUUUCCAACCAGGAUGAUCCCGUAUUCAACCUGUAUUUGAGGGGUCGAGGAUGGUCCCCAACCCCUCCUCAACCUCUCAAUCGCUCAGUCCAUGAGCCCAACAGGUCAAGCCGGUGCAUCUGUCAAAGGCAGCAGCAGCACAUCUAUUUCAUGUACGUACACAAGUUAUGGUUCUGCUACUAGCACUUGCAGUUAGCUACUAAGCUGUUAUCCGUUAUUCUGUGCAAAUAGCAGUAGCAUUAGCAUUAGUAGAUUAGCAAAUAGCAAAGUAGCGGUAGCACAGUAGCACUUGAAGACCACGCAAAUAUCCGUUAUUCUGUUGAUUCUUUGACAGGAUCCAAGAGAAAGGCUCGUGAAGGUGAUGCUAGUGCAGCUAGUAGUGUGCUUGGUGCUUUGUUGUUGCCGCUGAUGUGCACUUGUGCAAAAAGUGCUGCUUGCGGUUGCCGACUGGCACACUUUUGUGUGUAUGUGUUUAUAAUGUAUAUACAUUAGUAUUCACGUAUAUGUGUCCCGGUUCCCAUCCCGUUUUCAUUGUAUUCCCACUCAUAUUUUUUUGUUUCCGUGAACCGGAUAUCAGUUCCGCUCCCGGUUGUCCCGUUCCCGCUGAAGAAAUAUGGUAACGGAAAUGGGAAAGGAGUUUUCCUAUCCGUUCUCAUCCCUACUCCAAAUCGUAGAACUGGUCAUGCAUGUGAGAUGACAUCAUCAGUUUUGUCUCUUUUGCAUGCAUGCACUAUCUUUCCCACGCGUGAAGUCAUAGAAGGAGACAGGUGGUGAAAUUGCAGCAUAUGCGAUAUAUAGUAUCCACCCAAUAGCAGUUGUUCUAAAACAAGAUAGAACGGAUGCGCCAUAAUAUUUGUUAUGAUAAGAUCUUCAAAACAAAACUCACUUGACUAGGUUUUGAAGAUAAUUUUAAAAAAUAUUUUUUAAUACGGAAUAAUUAAUUUCAAUUACUGCGAACAAAUAAUUGAACAUCACGAACAAAUAAUUAUUUUCUAUGAACAAAUAAUUAAAUAUGACAAACAAAAUAAUGGUACACUCUGAACAAAAAUAGUUUAAAUCACGAACAAUUUAUUUUAUAGUGCAAGCAAUAUAAAUUGAAUAUCACAAACAAAUACGUACACAUUGUCGAACAAAUUAUAUGAAUUCAGGGAAUAAAACAACAUACCUAUCAACAAAUUAUACAAACUCCCAAAAAAAAGACCUGUACACCGAAAAUAAAUACAUUAUUGAUAUAGCAUAAAUACUAUAAUCUAUAAAAAAGUAAAAAGAUACUAUAAAACAUUAUAAUAUGUUAAAAUAGAAAAUAAUCGAAGAAACUUAAGUUUGCUAGAUGCUACUCAGUUGCUCUAACUAUUAGCUAAUAAGGCCUUUUCAUAGAAAAUAAAUCUACAGUUUCACAUUGAAUUAUUCUUCAAUUUGAAUAAAUAAUUUCAUCGAAGUUGGUUGUGUGUUUGUUAACUGCUAACUAUAUAAGAUAUAAAGAUGGACAAUAUGAAUUAUGAAAAACAACCGAAGAAAGGAUACUACAUAAGGUAUAGAAGAGAAAAAGGAGAAAUAAAUAAUAUAUAAAAAGAGUUAACAGGAAGAGAAUAUAAAUUGAAGGAAAGAAAUAGAAAAAUGAAUAAACAUGAAAAAUAAUAGCCAACUCAACCUCGUGGUGGACCCCUCGCAUGCACGCUGACACGGGAAUUGGCCUCAUGGUGGACCCCUCGCAUGCAUGCAGCAUGCCUAUGCCCCGCACGGCUCCUUGCAUGCGGACUGACACGGACACGGGAAAUAUUAUUGGGCCGGGCUGACUCGCUGCGCGUUUGCAUCAUGCGACAAAUAGAUUAUCAUCGUAUAUGCGAUGACAGUCGUGACCCCUCGGGUCCCUUCCCGCCGCACAUGGACGGACCACGUCAAGUCGGGAUCGCGCUCCACCGCAAUAGCGCGCGCGGUGGCAUCCCGGGGAGGCGCCGCCUGCAUCCGCGCGAGCGCGCGCCCAACCCCGAAACGGACCCGCCGUCGCUGCGGCGCAUUGAUCAUGGACGGAGCCACCCGCCGCUCGCCUGCCUGCCCGAUCGCCCUCGGCCCCUCGUCGCGCUCGUAGGAGAUUUGGAGAAGUCCGUGUCGGGCGGGGCCGGGCAAUGUCGACAUGUCCGGAAUCCGGAUAAGCUCGGGGCGCAGCGCGCUGCGGUUGAACGAGCGCGGGGACAGGCCGCCCCGUGCCCCCGUGCACCAACCGCGGCCGCCUCUUCGAUCGGCCAGGAGCUUCGUCGGAAGGGGGGACGCGAGGCGAUCCCGCCGGUGCCAGGAGGCGAGAGGCCAACGGACACGUCGGCGUUGACGGCGAGUCUUAUCCGCUUUCCAAGCCCCCCGGGGGGGGGGGGGACGCCAGGUCGGCGGCGACUAGUAGUUAGGGCUAGUUUGGCAGGGCUCCGGCUCCGGCUCCGUGCGCUUACCGAAGCACGGAGGAGCCGGAGCCGCACCAAACGGCAUUGACCGCGGAGCUAUUUUUUGGCACAUUUGGGAGAAGCCGGAGUCGUUUUAGGCCUGCAUGGAGGAGCCUAAAAAAGUGGCUCCGCGGCUCCGGCUCCAGCUCCGCACGAGGAGCCCCUCGCGAGGAGCCCUGCCAAAGGAGCCCUUAAUCAUCGCCUGCUGCUGCUGGCUCCGCAGCCAGGAACCAAAAAAAAUCCGUUCACGGAUCGAGCUGCAAAUGGAACCUGCCCCGGAUGGAUAUUGUAUCUGCCAUGGCACGUCGACGUGAGUGUGACGCGGCGCUGCUGAACGUUCCGCUUGGACGCUUGGACCUUCCAGUCAUUUUUUAGAAACUUCAUUCCCACCCAUUUUUGCGUGCGUGUAAACGACCGGAUGAGGUCACGACCCGUAGCACUUUUCGAUUUUGUUACAGCCCAGUGUUGGCCGCGCCUAUAAGGACACGUACAACGACACGUACAACGAUCCGUUCCGAGCCGUCUGGGAGCCGAUUCAUUUGCAAAAAGCCCCCGCGACGGCCUGGAGACGGCUUCAUCGUCGCCUCGCGAGGCGACGAUCCCAGCUCAUGCUCCUAGACGAAAAAGGCGACUCCAGCACCGUUGUGCGGCUCACCGACGAACCCCUGCGUCGCUCCCUCGAUCCGCUGCAGCUCCUCCGCGCGGGAAGAUGGUGCCCCUCCUCCGCCUCCAACCCACGAGCCGGCGGCGCCCUUCCUCGAAUCCAAUGAGUAGCGGCGGCGGCGCGUUGCUAGAUGCGGCGGCAGUGCCGGAUGGAAGGCCGCGGCCGUGUAGGAGCAGGAAAGGUGCGGCCAUGACACGGAAGCGCGGCGGCGGCUAGCGUAGGGACUCGAUCUGCAACUAGCCAUGCCCUGAUGGUGGCGGCUAGCUCGGGGCCUCGAUUUGCCUUUGGCGAUGCUCCUGAUGGUGGCGUCCUCAAGAUUCAGAUGUAGCAGGAUGGUAAGACUUCAUUCCCUUCUUUUUUGAAACGAAAGACUUCAGUCCCUUCAUUUGUGUCUCUUCAUGCUUUGGUUCUUGAACUAAUUGUACGAAGAAAUUAACUUGCAUGAGUUUGAUCUUACUAUCUUCUGUAUUUACUUGGACGUUGCUCAUGCUACCUUUGUUGUAUGUCAAUUAGUUCAGGAAGAACCACCAAUACAAGACCCCCAUGAUUUUUUGACACUCAUAAAAUAGUUGCUAUAAAUAUAUAUAUAUAUAUAUUAUACUUAUGCUUUAAAAAAUUUCACGUGACUUGAUUGAAUACAUUGUGUUUUCUAAAAAAAAACAACAAAAUAGCAUACAAAGAUCAAAUUAUACUUCAUCAACAUGAGUUAUGUACCCAUACACGAAUUAAAUAUUACACAGACAGCCUAAUAGACAAGUCACUGUAUAGUUGUUUGUUUUGUUGUCUGUGUACGAUCUCCAAAGCAUUUGGAGACGGUAGCUGUCUAAACCGUUAAACAUGCCUAAGAGCAGCCAAACCGUUAAACAUGCCCUAAGAGCAGCCAAGCCUUUUUCGUGCAUUGACAGAUUGUUGGGAGUACAGCUGCAGAGCAGCAGGGCAGGCAAGGUAUUCUUAUCGCGAUUUUUCCUUUUCUGUCUGCCAUGGAUCCGCGGCGCGGCUGCUGGGAGUGCUCGUCGUCGGAGGACGUGUCGCGGCCGCUGCUGCCCGUGCACGACGACGACGACCGGCCCGCGGGGAGCCGGUCAUGCUCCGCGCUCGGGAAUAAGUACCUGGCCGUCGCGUCGGGGCCGGCGGCGUGCGCACUCAUCUGCGCUCUGGGGAACUCGGCGGGCACCCGGCGGCGCGCAACAUGCUCGGCGUGCUGGCCUGGGUGUUCCUCUGGUGGAUCACGGACGCCGUGCCGCUCGCCGUCGCCUCCAUGGCGCCGCUGUUCCUGUUCCCGGCGUUCGGCAUCUCGUCCGCCGACGACAUCGCCAAGGCAUACAUGGACGACGUCAUCGCCCUCGUCCUCGGCAGCUUCAUCCUCGCGCUCGCCGUCGAGCACUACAGCAUCCACCGACGCCCCGCCCUCAACGUACGCGCCGAGACCAAACGUUUCGAGCUAGCAACUUGUACAGAAACAGAGGAGAAAACAAUAACAACAAUAACUAACAUUGUGUAGCUCGACGCGCAGAUCACGUCCCUUCACCGGGUCGCCGCACCUGCUGCUGCUGGGCAUCUGCGGCACGACCGUGUUCAUCAGCAUGUGGAUCCACAACACGGUGUGCACCAUCAUGAUGGUGCAGGUGGCGACGGGGAUCCUGCAGCGGCUCCCGCGCGACCAGGGCAGAGACAAGCAGGGGGAGGGUCCGGAUCGCCUAGUUGACGAUGAUCCAAGGAAGCCGAAGCGGAGGCAUUCCGGCGAGGGUACGUGACGUUGUUGAGGUGGACCAUCUGCACUUCCACCGUCCGUCCGGCUAGUAGACUCCAAACAAUGAGGAGCAACUUGCCGGACAGUACAAACAAUACCUUUUUGAAUUGGAACUUUUCCGUCACUCCGUGUCAGCUUGCCUAUUCCAGAAAUGGCAUGAAGCUUUAUCCUGAAUAAUAGUCAGCAGCAGAGCAAUCUUAUCCACUCCCCAAGUCAACAUGCGAAGGUGAUUGCCUACAUAGAACAUUCUUUCGUGGUAUUGCUCGAAAUCAUGACCGAUAAACCUUACCGGACGGCCCAAAACUUUCAGCCCAACAAUGCACUCUGACUUUUCGGCUUACAUUGACUGGCUCCUCCGGCGGCAUGAUCCAAAUAAUUCAGUUCCGAAACAGUUGAGCUUGUUCGGCUGGACUUAUAAGCUGACUGAAAAGCUGAAACGGUUAAUUUAUUGUGAGAGAAAAAUACUGUUCGAUGACUGAUAAGCUGAAGCGAACAAGCUGAAAAAUGCUGGCAUUCCUCAGUGGAAGUUUCUUCAAUUCUUCCUUCGUUCAGGAGUUGGGACCCGCCAUCCGCCGACCGGGACACGCAAGCUCGCGGCGGCGCUUCGCCGCGGGCCGUGAGGGGCGUGGCAGCCAAUCGACCGACUCACCGACCCACACGACCCGCGAAGCAGCUGCCGUGCCGUGUCCGCGGCACCGCUGAUCUGGCGAAGAUUCCUACUCCUCCUAGCCAUCCUGCUCAUUGUCUCGCUGUCGCGGUGGAACCCUGGGUACUUGGGCAGGCCUCAGGCCAUGUUUAGUUACUCCCAACUCCCAACUUUGACACUAUGCAAAAAGAAGAUUCCCCAUCACAUCAAACUUGCGGUACAUGCAUGGAGUACUAAAUGUAGAUGAAAUUAAAAACUAAUUGCACAGUUUUGUUGUACUUUGCGAGACGAAUCUUUUGAGCCUAAUUAGUCAAUAUUUGGACAAUAAUUCACAAAUACAAACGAAACGCUACAGUGUGCUACAGUGCUGUAACAGUAAUUUGGCACCUCCCAAAUUCCCUAACUAAACAAGGCUUCAAUCGGGCGCCGGCGCCCCGGGCCUGAAUGAUUUACCGUCCGAUGUCGACUGCAACCAACCAGGAGUCCGGACGUCCCGUCGCUACGCUGCCACGUACGCAGCCCCCAGCGCACACCGUCCACCAGAUUGUUUUGUUUAUGCAUUGCGUGAUGUACUCCCUCCGUUCUAAAAUAAACUCACACCUUACUUCCUGAGAAGUCAAAUAUUUUUUAGUUUAACUAAGAAUAAAAAUAGUAUCAACAUUUGUAUCUUCAAAUAAAUUUAUUAGGAAAGUAUACUCAAUGCUCAAUCUAUUGAUACUUAUUAUACAUCAUAAAUAGUAGUACAUUUUUUUAUAAAUUUUGAUCAAACUUUAUAAAGUAAGUGAGAUGUGCGUUUAUGUUGGAAUGGAUGGAGUAUAUGCAUUUUCUGCUCUCUCUCUCUUGUUGUUCUAGGCGCUCAUAGCUCACCAAACAAAUCCUUUUUGAAUCGGAAUUCUCCGUGUCAGCUUGCCAAUUCCAGAAAUGGCAUGAAGCUAAGAAACAUAUCCUGCAUAACAGUCAGAUGCAGAGUUACGCUAUCCACUUCCACUCCCAAGCCAACGUACAAGUAUACUCUCUCCGAUUUAAAAUAUUUGACACUGUUAACUUCUCAUGUCGCUUGAUCAUUUGUUUUAUUAAACAAUAUUAUAAAUAUACAUGAAGAUAAGUUAUGCUUAAAAUAUAUUUCUAAGUCACAAACCAAAUAAUGAACUUUCAUAAUUUUUGAAAUAAGAUGAAUGGUUAAAUGUUGUGAUUAAAAAUCAAUAGCGAUAGAUGUUUCGAUACGGAGAUACGUGCAAUGAAAAUGAUGCCAGCUGUGAACCCAUAAUAAAUAAAUACUUUUGCAAUUGGCCCUUUUUAGUCUCGCUGAAACCGUAAAAAUAAUCUACUUCCUCCGUCCCAAAUUACUAUUCGUUAUUCGUUUUGACUUUUUAAUUACGUAGUCUUUAUUACGUAUCUAGACAUAAUAUAAUCUAAUAAUAUAUAUCUAGAUGUAUAGCAAAAGCUAUAAAAUAAAUAGUAAUUUGGGACGGAGAGAGUAUUCACUCGUGGCUCGUGGACAAACCCACUUCUCAUCCGGCACCAGCAUCCGUAUAAGUAGGUGGGGGUGUUUGGAAGGAGGGGACUUGAAGUUUAGUCCCCAUCACAUCGAAUGUUUGGAUACUAAUUAGGAGUAUUAAACUUAGACUAAUUACAAAACUAAUUACAUAACCCCUAGGCUAAAUCGCGAGACGAAUCUAUUAAGCCUAAUUAAUCCAUAAUUUGACAAUGUGGUGCUACAGUAACCCUUCACUAAUGAUGGAUUAAUUAGGCUCAAUAAAUUCGUCUCGUGAUUUAGCCUAGGAGUUCUGCUAUUAGUUUUGUAAUUAGCUUAUGUUUAGUCCUCCUAAUUAGCAUCCGAAUAUCCGAUGUGAUAGGAAUAAAGUUUAGCUCUGCCUUCCAAACACCCCAUAUUCGGUCUGCCGCGGGAGGCAUUAAAAAGGAGCCAGAAACCUUCGCGGGCGGUGGCAUAAAAUUUUUGAGCCCGAUGAUGCCGCCGGCUUCUUUUUCUUUUUCUGCAUAUCCAAGAAUAUUUCGGUUCUUCAAAAAACCCAAGCGUAGAAACGCCGGCCAGAACCCACGCCCGAGCGCGGGCGGCCGCGCUUCGCAGCGGCCCGCGGUGGGCGGCGAACCCAUCGUCAUCCACGGCCGCCUCGAGCAGCUAGCUGUCGUGCGCCGCCGCACAGCAGGCUGCCCCAGCAGAUUCUUCCUACUGCUCGUAGCCAACUUGAGCACCGUUUCGCUGUCGCGGUGGAGCCCUGGACAGGCCGCACCGGGCGUCCCAGGACUAGGCGCGCCGGCCAGCCGGGACCGAUCGUUGCCUGAGUGGUUGUGCCGGCCGACGUCGACGGCGACCAGCCAGGACGUAUUCCGUCCCGUCGCUGCGAGCUGUCACGUACGUUGCGCCCGGCGCACGACGUCCACUAGAUUGUUUUAUGUUACUCGCUGUAUAGACAUUUGUCGUGAAGGUUUCAGCGGAUCAAAGAUGAAAGAAGCUUUUAUCCAGUUGAUUUUAGACCUGAGACUAAAGUACCUUUAAUCUUAGAUAAAAAAUGAGCCAUCGAAGACCACCGACAGGGAGAGUUUUAUUCUCGGUUGUAAAGAUCAACCGGGACUAAAACCCUCCUUUAAUCUGAUUGUAACGGCUAGUGGACCGAGGGAACAUUUUAUCCCGAUUAAAAUCACCAACCGAAACUGAAGAUCAUGUUUAGUCCCCGUUGGAAUUACCGGAAUCUGCCCGCCGUCCUGUCCUCGGAAACACGAAGGAGCCAUCAACCAUCAGCUGGAAAAUCCACGGUCCAAGAUCGGAUCGGCAGACGCUUCGAUUUGACGUCAUGCAGUAGGCAAGUAACGGAGCAAGGCCUCUUUGGCUCGAUUCAGCAUGCAACUUGUUGCGGGGUGCAACGCAUCUGCCGUGUAUGGAUUGGCGAACAAAGUCAGGCUUAGGCUAGCAGGGAGUAACGUACGUCUAGGGGCAAAUCAUCGAUACGGAUCAGCCUUGGCAUUUGAUAUCUCCGCUUCAGCACGCGCGAGCCAUUACGCAACGCAAACACACUUCGCACCGCCCGGCGCCCGGGCGACACGCGUGCACAUACCGAGAAGAAACCCACAGACCGAGAUUAUAAUCAUACAUAGCGUCCCGGGGCAGGGCACGACGGAUUCAUUCAAACAAGGAACGUUACGAGUUGCCACAUCGGUAGGUCAGAGAAAAAGCCUUUGCGUUGACUCGUUGAGGCUGUACCAAUCCUCCCGCCUGGUCAGCCUAUCGCCCGCCCGAUGCAGAUUGGCAUCGGCCGCGGCCGCCGGUCGCCGUCCCGGGCGGGCCCUUGAAAGCUCGACGUCCCAAAUAUCGUGGCGUGGGUGGAGAUAUCUGCAGGAUUGCGUGGAAAGGUCCGGGGAAUGUCGACAUGACCGCGCUUCCGGCCGUGCGCGCGCAGGUCGCCCCGUGCGCCACCAAUGACCAAACGCGGUCAGCUCUUCCGCCCCUCAAGGGCUGAGGCGCGCAGGCCAGCGGUACACGUCGGCGUCGACGGCAGCAGUAUUACUCACUCUUAUCCGGUGUCCAAGUGGGGCCGUGCUUAUCUGGACGCCAAGUCGGCGCCACAUUAUUAAUCACCAGGUUGGUGGCACAGCGUGGGAGCCAGAGGAAAGUGCAGUGCGGUUAGUAUUGUAAGCGUUACCUGACGUGGCUCAACGUGGAGCACCUUCUUCUUCUUGGACCUUCUCCCUCACCCUGUCACCCAACGACUCAAAUCAUUGUUCUUUUUUGGGGGGGGGGGGUAAAGAUUGUGACCAUUUCGCCUACGUGCAAAUGGCCAGAUGAUGAUCUCUCGCAGCCCCAACAGUUUUUAUGUUUCUUUUGUGUUCCCCAGCCUAUAAAACCAGGCAAGCUUUUCGGACGCCACACUUCAUCAACAAGCACACGCACGGUUUUGUCAGCUGCCGAUUCCUUGGACCAUGGAUCCGCGGCGCGCCUGCUGGGAGAGCUCGUCCGAGGACGUCACGAGGGCGCUGCUGCCGGUGCACGACGACAGGCCCACGAGGGGACGGUCCUGCGCGGGUCUCAGGGCGAUGCUCGCCAACAAGUACCUGGCCGUGGCGUCGGGGCCGGCGGCGUGCGCGCUCAUCUGUGCUCUCGGGGACCUCGGCGGGCACCCCGCGGCGCGCAACAUGCUCGGCGUGCUGGCCUGGGUGUUCCUGUGGUGGAUCACGGACGCCGUGCCGCUCGCCGUCGCGUCCAUGGCGCCGCUGUUCCUGUUCCCGGCGUUCGGCAUCUCCUCCUCCGACGCCGUCGCCAAGGCCUACAUGGACGACGUCAUCUCCCUCGUCCUCGGCAGCUUCAUCCUCGCGCUCGCCAUCGAGCACUACAGCAUCCACCGACGCCUCGCCCUCAACGUACGCCCGCGCGCUCUCGCCUUUGCCGAUUAAACGACUGAGAGCAUGUCUGCAACUCUGCAUCCGGACCAAGAAAAAAAGAACUAACUCUGUUGUGAAUUGUGAUGUCGCUCGUUCCGACGCGCAGAUCACGGCGCUGUUCUGCGGGGACCCGGUGAAGCCGCACCUGCUGCUGCUGGGCAUCUGCGGCACCACCAUGUUCAUCAGCAUGUGGAUCCACAACACGGCAUGCACCGUGAUGAUGAUGCCGGUGGCCACGGGGAUCCUGCAGCGGCUCCCCCGCGACGAACUGGAGGGAGGCUCGGAUGCACGCGAGGUCCAGCGGUUUUCCAAGGCGGUGGUGCUCGGCGUCGUGUACGCCUCGGCGAUCGGCGGGAUCGCCACGCUGACGGGCACGGGCGUGAACAUCAUCCUGGUGGGGAUGUGGUCCACCUACUUCCCGGAGCAGCGCCCCAUCACCUUCAGCUCCUGGAUGUCCUUCGGGCUCCCCAUUUCACUGGUCCUGUUCGUGGCGCUCUGGGCCACGCUCUGCCUGAUGUACUGCUCCAAGAACACCGGGAGGGCGCUCUCCGCAUACCUCGACAGGAGCCACCUCAGAAGGGAGCUCGGCUUGCUGGGUAGGUUCUGCCUCCUUGCUUCCGUUGACUGUCGAGAGGAAUGGCAAGCAUGUUCAUUAAUGAUCUGACCAAUGCCGAAUGCGCAGCCUGGAAUAUUCUGAAAUAUAGACACGUUUUAGUUUUGGUUAUUUCUUUGACAGUUACUGAAGCCUUAUUGUAGUACUGAUUAUUGCCAUCGGAUUUUCUGACGGGGUCUCCAUCUUGAUUUGUGACAGGUCCGAUGGCAUUUGCAGAGAAGAUGGUUUUGGCCGUCUUUGGGGUAAGCCGUGCGUUAAUAUUUCUGUCCCAAUUCUUGUUCUGGUCAAUUUCUAUCUGAACCUGUAAACUCUAAUAUUGGUUUCUACAAGAGAAUUCAAAGGAUCAAUGGCUGAUUCUUGCAGGGUCUCAUUGUUCUAUGGAUGACCAGGAGUCUGACAGACGACAUCCCUGGGUGGGCAGUCCUAUUCGAUGGCAAAGUUGGGGAUGGAACCGUCACCGUAAGUGGAAAAAUAAAGAAAAUUCCAAAUUACUCCCCUAAAGUAUAAUCAAAAUUUGGAUAACCCCUAAAAUAUUUCUUGCUUUAGUUUACACCCUAAACUAUGCCAUUUGGUUUAAUUUACCCCUUAACACAAUUAAUCUUUUUUAUUUCUCCAUGCACAAGUCAAUUUUUAAGUUUAAAUUUUGCAAGAUGAUAGCAGACAACAUAAGGCAUGUUAAAAAAUAUAUCAUAAAUUUUUCAUCACUAUUUUGAUAGGGUAGGAUAUUUAAUAAUAAAAUUUAACGUUGAGAUACAAAAUUAUAUAAAAACUAAUGAUAAAAAAUUCAAAAAAUAUUUUUUUAAUAUAGAUUAUGACGUUCACUACCACCCUGCAAAGUCUCAAAUUAAAAUUCAACUUGUGUAUGGAGAAACAAAAAUGACAAAUUGUAUUAUGGGUAAGUUGAACCAAAUAGUAUAGUUUAGAGGGUAAAUUGAACCAAAACAUAGUUUAGGGGUUAUAUAGACUGGAAGGGAGUAAUUUGGACUUUUUCUAGUUAAAAAAUCCAGAUUAUUUUUUCAGACCUUCACCAGAUGGCAACUUGCAAAAUAAUGCAUGUGUGCAGAUCA